UACAGAGGGUGCAAGCGUUGUUCGGAAUUACUGGGCGUAAAGGGCGCGUAGGCGGCCUCCUAAGUCGAACGUGAAAUCCCCGGGCUCAACCCGGGAACUGCGUCCGAUACUGGAAGGCUUGAAUCCGGGAGAGGGAUGCGGAAUUCCAGGUGUAGCGGUGAAAUGCGUAGAGAUCAGGAGGAACACCGAUGGCGAAGGCAGGUCUCUGGGCUGACACUGACGCUCAUGCGCGAAAGCGUGGGGAGCAGACAGG
This 253-nucleotide ribosomal RNA is filed under the name uncultured bacterium. Its description in RNAcentral is "partial 16S ribosomal RNA". It matches the Rfam family "Bacterial small subunit ribosomal RNA", at positions 524 to 776 of the family's 1533-position model. The record is from RNAcentral.